RNAcentral lists this ribosomal RNA (459 nucleotides) under uncultured bacterium. RNAcentral describes it as "partial 16S ribosomal RNA". It matches the Rfam family "Bacterial small subunit ribosomal RNA", at positions 338 to 795 of the family's 1533-position model. The record is from RNAcentral.
CCUACGGGUGGCAGCAGUGAGGAAUAUUGGUCAAUGGGCGCGAGCCUGAACCAGCCAAGUCGCGUGAGGGAAGACGGCCCUAUGGGUUGUAAACCUCUUUUGUCGGGGAGCAAAAGACGCCACGCGUCGCGUUCCGAGAGUACCCGAAGAAAAAGCAUCGGCUAACUCCGUGCCAGCAGCCGCGGUAAUACGGAGGAGGCAAGCGUUAUCCGGAUUUAUUGGGUUUAAAGGGUGCGCAGGCGGAAGAGCAAGUCAGCGGUAAAAUUGAGAGGCUCAACCUCUGCGAGCCGUUGAAACUGGUUGUCUUGAGUGUGCGAGAGGUAGGCGGAAUGCGUGGUGUAGCGGUGAAAUGCAUAGAUAUCACGCAGAACUCCGAUUGCGAAGGCAGCAUACCGGCGGUCAACUGACGCUGAUGCACGAAAGUGUGGGUAGCGAACAGGAUUAGAUACCCGUGUAGUC